This 1025-nucleotide ribosomal RNA is filed under the name Myroides odoratimimus. RNAcentral describes it as "bacterial SSU rRNA". It matches the Rfam family "Bacterial small subunit ribosomal RNA", at positions 39 to 1071 of the family's 1533-position model. The record is from RNAcentral. Lineage: Bacteria; Pseudomonadati; Bacteroidota; Flavobacteriia; Flavobacteriales; Flavobacteriaceae.
AUAGCAAGCGCAGCUACCAUGCAGUCGAGCGGUAGCACAAACUUGCUUUUUUGAGACCGGCGCAGGGUGAGUAACGCGUAUGCAACCUACCUUAUACUGGGGAAUAGCCCGAAAACUUCGGAUUAAUGCUCCAUGGUUUAUCCAUAUGGCAUCGUAUUGAUAAUAAAUAUUUAUCGGUAUAAGAUGGGCAUGCGUAUCAUUACCUACUUGGUGUGGUAACGGCAUACCAAGGCAACGAUGAUUACGGGUCCUGAUAGGAAGAUCCCCCACACUGCUACUGAUACGCGGACCAGACUCCUCCGGGAGGCAGCAGUGAGGAAUAUUGUUCAAUGGAGGCAACUCUGAACCAGCCAUGCCGCGUGCAGGAUGACGAACCUAUGGAUUGUAAACUGCUUUUGUACAGGAGGAAACCUCCCUACGAGUAGGGACUUGACGGUACUGUAAGAAUAAGGAACGACUAACUCCGUGCCACCACCCGCGGUAAUACGGAGGAUCCGAGCGUUAUCCGGAAUUAUUGGGUUUAAAGGGUUCGUAAGCGGCUUUGUACGUCAGUGGUGAACUUUCCUAGCUUAACUACGACACUGCCAUUGAUACUGCAAAACUUGGAUAAUAUGGAAGUAACUAGAAUAUGUAAUGUAUCGGUGAAAUGCUUAGAUAUUAAAGAAAUACCAAUUGCCAACGCAGGUUACUACCUAUCUUAUUGACGCUGAUGACGAAGGGGUGGGGAGCGAAGAGGAUUAAAUACCCUGGAACUCCCCGCCCUCACGAUGGAUACUAUCUGUUCGGAUUUCGUACUGAUUGGCUAAGCGAAAGUGAUAAAAAUCCCACUGGGGAGCCGUGCGCAAAAAGGAGCCUCAAUGAAAUCACAGGGGCCCGCGCGAGCCCGGAACCUGGGGGUAUAAUGUCGGAUGAAACUCGAGGAACUUCACCAAGGCCUUAACUGUACAUUGGCUGCAUUUGAAACACAAUUAUCUUCGGACAUUUUCAAGGGUGUUGCAUGAUUGUCCGCCAACUGCGGCCGUGAC